This 253-nucleotide ribosomal RNA is filed under the name uncultured bacterium. RNAcentral describes it as "partial 16S ribosomal RNA". It matches the Rfam family "Bacterial small subunit ribosomal RNA", at positions 524 to 776 of the family's 1533-position model. The record is from RNAcentral.
GACGAAGGAUGCAAGUGUUAUCCGGAAUCACUGGGCGUAAAGCGUCUGUAGGUGGUUUAAUAAGUCAACUGUUAAAUCUUGAGGCUCAACCUCAAAAUCGCAGUCGAAACUAUUAGGCUAGAGUAUAGUAGGGGUAAAGGGAAUUUCCAGUGGAGCGGUGAAAUGCGUAGAGAUUGGAAAGAACACCGAUGGCGAAGGCACUUUACUGGGCUAUUACUAACACUCAGAGACGAAAGCUAGGGUAGCAAAUGGG